RNAcentral lists this long non-coding RNA (201 nucleotides) under Elaeis guineensis (African oil palm). RNAcentral's name for it is "long non-coding RNA (EGUI_LNC022197)". Lineage: Eukaryota; Viridiplantae; Streptophyta; Magnoliopsida; Arecales; Arecaceae. The record is from RNAcentral.
UGGAGGACAAAUGAUGGUAUAGUGAAAAGAUUGGGCGAGGCCCGAUAUAUAUCUGAUUUCAGACGAAAUCUUGUCUCACUGAGUAGACUGGAUUCGAGAGGCUACUGGAUGGUAGCUGAUAGAGAAAUUUUGAAGGUAUUGCACGGUGAUAGGAUUAUUCUGAAGGAGAAGAAGAACAUGAAAGGACAUUACUACUUGACG